Long non-coding RNA from Salarias fasciatus (jewelled blenny), 93 nucleotides. RefSeq lists it as uncharacterized. The transcript has 3 exons. Lineage: Eukaryota; Metazoa; Chordata; Actinopteri; Blenniiformes; Blenniidae. The record is from RefSeq and is a predicted model, not a curated record.
CAAGAAGCUCUUCUGCCCUCCACUCGUUACCUGGAUUAAUGGCACCUGUUUGAACUGGUUAUCUGUAUGAAAGACACCUGGACACAGACUCCA